RNAcentral lists this ribosomal RNA (253 nucleotides) under uncultured bacterium. RNAcentral describes it as "partial 16S ribosomal RNA". It matches the Rfam family "Bacterial small subunit ribosomal RNA", at positions 524 to 776 of the family's 1533-position model. The record is from RNAcentral.
GACAGAGGUGGCGAGCGUUGUUCGGAAUUACUGGGCGUAAAGGGUGUGUAGGUGGUCAGAUAAGUCAGUGGUGAAAUCCUACGGCUUAACCGUAGAACUGCCUUUGAUACUGUCUGACUAGAGUGCAGGAGAGGAGGGUGGAAUUCCCGGUGUAGAGGUGAAAUUCGUAGAUAUCGGGAGGAACACCAAUGGCGAAGGCGGCCCUCUGGACUGCGACUGACACUGAGACACGAAAGCGUGGGGAGCAAACAGG